AUUGAACGCUGGCGGCAGGCCUAACACAUGCAAGUCGAGCGGAUGAAGGGAGCUUGCUCCUGGAUUCAGCGGCGGACGGGUGAGUAAUGCCUAGGAAUCUGCCUGGUAGUGGGGGAUAACGUCCGGAAACGGGCGCUAAUACCGCAUACGUCCUGAGGGAGAAAGUGGGGGAUCUUCGGACCUCACGCUAUCAGAUGAGCCUAGGUCGGAUUAGCUAGUUGGUGGGGUAAAGGCCUACCAAGGCGACGAUCCGUAACUGGUCUGAGAGGAUGAUCAGUCACACUGGAACUGAGACACGGUCCAGACUCCUACGGGAGGCAGCAGUGGGGAAUAUUGGACAAUGGGCGAAAGCCUGAUCCAGCCAUGCCGCGUGUGUGAAGAAGGUCUUCGGAUUGUAAAGCACUUUAAGUUGGGAGGAAAGGCAGUAAGUUAAUACCUUGCUGUUUUGACGUUACCGGCAGAAUAAGCACCGGCUAACUUCGUG
This 484-nucleotide ribosomal RNA is filed under the name uncultured bacterium. RNAcentral describes it as "partial 16S ribosomal RNA". It matches the Rfam family "Bacterial small subunit ribosomal RNA", at positions 30 to 507 of the family's 1533-position model. The record is from RNAcentral.